RNAcentral lists this ribosomal RNA (500 nucleotides) under uncultured bacterium. Its description in RNAcentral is "partial 16S ribosomal RNA". It matches the Rfam family "Bacterial small subunit ribosomal RNA", at positions 30 to 523 of the family's 1533-position model. The record is from RNAcentral.
AUUGAACGCUGGCGGCAUGCCUUACACAUGCAAGUCGAACGGUAACGGGUCCUUCGGGAUGCCGACGAGUGGCGAACGGGUGAGUAAUAUAUCGGAACGUGCCCAGUAGUGGGGGAUAACUGCUCGAAAGAGCAGCUAAUACCGCAUACGACCUGAGGGUGAAAGGGGGGGAUCGCAAGACCUCUCGCUAUUGGAGCGGCCGAUAUCAGAUUAGCUAGUUGGUGGGGUAAAGGCCUACCAAGGCAACGAUCUGUAGUUGGUCUGAGAGGACGACCAGCCAGACUGGGACUGAGACACGGCCCAGACUCCUACGGGAGGCAGCAGUGGGGAAUUUUGGACAAUGGGCGCAAGCCUGAUCCAGCAAUGCCGCGUGCAGGAAGAAGGCCUUCGGGUUGUAAACUGCUUUUGUCAGGGAAGAAAUCUUCUGGGCCAAUACCCCGGGAGGAUGACGGUACCUGAAGAAUAAGCACCGGCUAACUACGUGCCAGCCGCCGCGGUAA